RNAcentral lists this ribosomal RNA (444 nucleotides) under uncultured bacterium. Its description in RNAcentral is "partial 16S ribosomal RNA". It matches the Rfam family "Bacterial small subunit ribosomal RNA", at positions 338 to 795 of the family's 1533-position model. The record is from RNAcentral.
CCUACGGGUGGCAGCCGUGGGGAAUAUUGGGCAAUGGAGGCAACUCUUACCCAGCAAUGCCGCGUGAAUGAAGAAGGUAUUCGGAUUGUAAAGUUCUUUAAUUGGGGACGAAAAAAAUGACGGUACCCAAGGAAUAAGCCACGGCUAACUACGUGCCAGCAGCGGCGGUAAUACGUAGGGGGGAAGCGUUGUUCGGUAUGACUGGGCGUAAAGGGGGUGUAGGGGGGGGAGCAAGUGAGACGGGAAAUACCCAGAGCUUAACUCGGGUGCUGCUCCUAAAACUGCUAUACUUGAGUGCAGUAGAGGAAAGGGGAAUUCCUAGUGUAGCGGUGGAAUGCGUAGAUAUUAGGAGGAACAUCAGUGGCGAAGGCGACUUGCUGGACUGUAACUGACGCUGAGGCACGAAAGUGUGGGGAGCAAACAGGAGUAGAUACCCCAGUAGUC